GAGGAUUGGAGAGAGGAGAAGCCAAGAUGGAGGCAGAUGGACAGGAAGAAGAUCCCGAUCCCCCGAGGUUUUAAAUAGUCACAGAUGUCCAGACCUGGAUGUCAGGGAGCAGUGAGGAUGAGAAUUGAGCCACCUUGGGGAGGACAUACAUCCAGAACAAUCACCCAAGCCAGAGAGGACUUCAGAGGAGCACUACUCACUGUCCUGUUGUCUAAAACCAUCUGAGCUUCAGGGUUUGCGUCAUAGACACAUACUACCAGAGAGAAUAAAAUCCCUCUAAAGAUGUAAAACAAAGGCUCUGCAGAGCAGUCGUGGGCAAGAGGUGAGCUACCACUCAUUUCUCCACUCUAUUUAGUCUGGUGUUGCAGUUUACAUCACGGGAGAAAGAGGAAGGAAAGCUUGGGAAACAGAAGGCUCACAGACCUGCUGCCUUGGCAAGCCAUUUAGCUUCUCUGGGUUCCAGCCUAGCAUGGAACUCACAUGGAGCCCUGGAUGACCUCAAACUCACCGGCAAUCCUUCUGUCCCAGCUUCCCCCCACCCGGUUUCUACUCACGGUCACAUUAUCUUUACCAAAUUACAUUUUAAUUAUCAAAAGCAAGCAUUUAUAUCAUCUGCAAUAGAUGACUGUAUUUGCCUUGACCACCAAGACAAGAACUCCAGGUAUGCAGUCUAUUGGCAAGGAUGGAGCUACUGAGAUGAAAAUACAUCAGGAAUAUCAUGUGUGGUGCUGAGACUACGAGAAAGAUGCUUUCAUCGUGACCAGAACCUCACUUUUGUGAAGGACUUCCACUGUUCCUCUGUAUUUGGUGAUGGUACUAAUUAAAAUAAAGUCAAUACAAAGGCCAGCUUUCUGGAAGGCGAUACAGACCUUGAGUACCCACGAUCUCCAUGUGCAGGUGAGCCAGACCACUCGCUAUGGAAAGCGCCAGCUUGACCAUUCCAGCCACAGUCACUAUGUUUCUGUUCAAAUAGUCAUACAAGGAGCCCUGCUCGUGAUACUCUGACACAAGCCAGAGUUGUGUCCAAGUUCCAUUAUCUGUUGAGAGAACAUCAUUUGUUGUUGUAAAUGCUGAGGAAGAAAAAGAGCACUUUUUCAACUCUUGUAGAUGUGGGUACCAUGGGAGCUUCCAUUGAAACAGGAAGUUGUGUAAGGUAGUUCUAAUAAAUGAGUGAUCCUUCUCCUGUAUGCAUUCAUCAGUAGUUGCUGGUGAUAGUUAGAGCAGUGCAGGGCAACCUUCUGAGAGAGGCACUGUGGGAGAAACUUCCGAGAGGCAACUUUGGCCUCAGGAUGGCCUUGCACAUUACUAUUAAGCAUUUAAGAACGAUUAAGGCAAUAAAUCCGAAGAAAUUUACACCAUAAUUACUACCAUGGGAGUGCUGACAUUCUAACAAUGUCCGAGAAAUUUGCCUAAAAAAAUAGGAAGUCAUGCAUUCCAAACAGUUUUAUAAAGAGCCAAGAUGUUGCUAGAUAUUCUCAGAUAGCAUGCCCAUUUAAACAAAAACUAGCCUGUCAUAUUUUUUAAAAAGCUGUUUAAGCAGACUAGAAGUUAGCUUAGGGUUCCAACCGUUAGAUGUAGCUCUCUAAACAGUGUCUGUGACAGUUUGGGCAACCCUGACCAGUCCCGAGAUUCCUGAGCAGUUUGCUUGGAUGCUGCCCAGCCAGGUGCUACAUGUUCAGGAGCAGGAGGUUGUCCGAAGAUCUCAUUUCCACAACCAGGCAGUGAGAAAUUUUCACGACUUACAAAAGCUCACUAACUCUAAAGCUCACUAACAAGCUCCAGACAGUAAACCCACCCUCGGACUCCCCGCUGAUCCCAUUCGUAGGCAUUGUCUCUCACAAGGGCUAUAAGUUAAAAGUGUGACUGUUAUACGAAAUAAAUAAUUUGUGAAAGUGAUAUCAGAGACCGUGUAGGAUCUGUACAACUGACUGACAAGUAAGGAUAUGCCCAAGGCAAUCCAGUUGCAUGCAAGGAAACAAGAAUGGCCUCUUUAGGGCACUAGCUUUAAACUAGUUCAUCAAGACGAGCUGUAGGGCUGCUUCCUGCUGCACUAAUAUCACUGCUGGGUAACCUGACCAGGAAAUAGCUCAGCUCAACAUUGGCAGGGGUUUGGAAAGUGGGUCCUUAGCUGUGUAACAAAAUGUCUAGUUUUCAAAACUCUUGGAGAUAGUGUUAAAGUAUAUGUCCUUAAGAAGUUGGAAAGAAGGACUGGAGAAAUGGCUCAGCAGUUAAGAGCAUGGGCUGCUCUUCCACAGGACCCAGGUUCAAUUCCCAGCAUCCACAUAGUGGCUCACAAUAAAUUGUAGCUCCAAUUCCAGAGGAUCCAGUGUCCUCUUCUGGCCUCACUGGGCACUAGGCACAGACAUGCAUGCAGACAAACUACCCAAACACUGAAAUAAUAAUCAUAAUCAUAAUCAUAAUAGAUAGAUAGAUAGAUAGAUAGAUAGAUAGAUAGAUAGAUAGAUAGAUAGAUAGAACCUGUGAAGAACUUUCUGUCUUAGCUCAGCUCUCCUUCACUCUCUCAACAAAUCCUAACUAGAAAACUAAAUUAUAAUCAAAAUAUGCAAAACUGUUAAAGAUCUCUUUUUCCAUCUAAUUAAUAAGAAAUGCCAAAUUAUUAUUUCCAUUCUUAAUAUUAACAGUGAUAUUAUUACAAUAUAUUAUAUAUUAUUUUCAUAUUACAUAAUAUAUAACAUAUAACAUAAUAUAAUAUAUUGUUGAUAUUACUACUAUUAAUAUUAAUAAUGAGUAUAAAAUAUUAUCAUGUUUCUAUUAGACAAAAGUGGAGGGUUUUUUUUUAAUUUUCCAGGAAAUAGUAAAUGUGUAAAAUUCACACAUAAUUUAGUUUAAACACUUUUGCUUUUUUUAUGAGAAUGUAACUGUGGCUGCAUCAAAGUUCUUCAUUAUAUUAAAAUUAUUAAAGUUCCAGUUUGAAACCUG
Molecule: long non-coding RNA, 2940 nt
Filed under: Mus musculus (house mouse)
Lineage: Eukaryota; Metazoa; Chordata; Mammalia; Rodentia; Muridae
Description: predicted gene 13544
Source: RNAcentral